This 443-nucleotide ribosomal RNA is filed under the name uncultured bacterium. RNAcentral's name for it is "bacterial SSU rRNA". It matches the Rfam family "Bacterial small subunit ribosomal RNA", at positions 57 to 526 of the family's 1533-position model. The record is from RNAcentral.
GCAAGUCGAGACGGGCGUAGGCAAGUACGUCGAGUGGCGGACGGGUCGAGGUAACGGCGUGGGGACCCGUGCCGUCGAACGUUCGGAUAACCGCGGGAAACUAGCGGCGUAAUACCGGAUGUGGCCGUGAGGGCCAAGGGGAAACGUACGACUUCGANAGGGGCCCGCGUUCGAUUAGCUAGUUGGUGAGGUUAACGGCUCACCAAGGCGACGAUCGAUAGCUGGUCUGAGAGGAUGAUCAGCCACACUGGGACUGAGACACGGCCCAGACUCCUACGGGAGGCAGCAGUGGGGAAUAUUGGACAAUGGGGGCAACCCUGAUCCAGCAAUGCCGCGUGAGUGAUGAAGGCCUUCGGGUUGUAAAGCUCUUUUGGCGGGGACGAUGAUGACGGUACCCGCAGAAUAAGCCCCGGCUAACUUCGUGCCAGCCGCCGCGGUAAUUC